Long non-coding RNA from Chinchilla lanigera (long-tailed chinchilla), 1367 nucleotides. RefSeq lists it as uncharacterized. The record is from RefSeq and is a predicted model, not a curated record. The transcript has 3 exons. NCBI's taxonomy places the organism in Eukaryota, Metazoa, Chordata, Mammalia, Rodentia, Chinchillidae.
GACAGUAUGAAGUUUUUAACUCCUAAAAGAUAAUUUACCUAUAAUAAUUAUUCAUAUGACACUUCUAAUAAUUAAGAGAUUUUACCACAUUACAGGUAUUACACCAACUAUUUCACAUAGAUGAAAUUGUUAAGGUACUGCUGCAAUCUUAAAAGAAGGCUCUGUUAUUAUUACCAUCUUGGAAAUAAAGUAGUAGGAAAUCCAACAAAUAAAACUCAAGGACCUUGACCUUGCACAAGGUAACAGAAAUAUUAGAUGAGGUGGAUUUGAAUUUAAACAAUCACCCUACUCCUCGAAGAAUGGAAUGAGAUAUUUUAAAGGCAAAUUACAUACAAUUAAUAAGAGAAAGGCAAAGAAUUGAACUCUACUAGUUUUAGGCAAGUUAUUCUAGUAGAGCCUUACAUACACAUUUUAAAUUGUGCAAAUCAACAGUCAGCUUUUAAAAUGAAGGAUGCACUUGACUUUUAUUCUUCAGAGGUAAAGAAAUACACAGGAUGAAUAAAGUUGUCGGAAGUAUGCUGGUAUUUACUGUCGGCGGAGAUUAAAGUAAUUUGUUUCAACUUCUCACCCUCUGAAGGUCAUGUAUGAAAACCCCAAACAGAAUGAAAUUCUGCAACUGAAAUUCAAAGGCAUGUGACUUGUUUUACUGUACCUACCUGAGUGGAAAUAAGUUAUCAUUUUUGAGAUUCAAAGCAACAUUCGUGCAUUAUUUAAAUAAACAAACCAGAAAGUGUUCUCAUGCUCUUUCCUACUCCGUACACCCAUAAAAGCACUCCAAUUAUAAUCACCACCAUAUUAUCUUUCCUUUGGAACAUUCAGUACUCUGCUAAAUCAAAUAAGACCUGGAGAUAAAUAAAUUUGUGUGCAUUUUCAAUGCUUUUACAAAUACACUUGGGUUCCUGCUAGGUGCCUUUCACUAUGUAAGAACUUUAUAUGUAUUCAUUUUUUUUCUGUCAGGUUAAUGAAGACACUGAGCAAGCUGUAAUGGGCACCUCCAUGGAAGAACUACCUGAGGUUUUUGGAGUUGUGACAGUUUUCGUCUCCCUGAAUUCUCCCUGAGUUCCAGUCUGUGCUCCAUCUGCUUUAAACUGCUCCUCAUCAGCUCCCAAUGGGAAAUAGCAGUGUGACGAGGUCUCACUAUAAAAGGACUAAAAAUCCAACAAGAACAUACAGUUGUAUCACAGAAGCAAAGGAACUAACUCAAUGUUUCAACAUAAAAGAGAAAACGUUCGUCUACCUCUGGCCUAGGGUUGCUGGGCCAGGGACACUGUGCACACCCCUCUAUUGCAGUCCUGUGGGACAUCUUGGAAAAGCUGCCUGUCCCCUCACAGAGAAGCAGAGGAGAACUAUGAAGAAGGAUGCUCUGA